UACGUAGGUGGCAAGCGUUGUCCGGAUUUACUGGGCGUAAAGGGCGUGCAGGCGGUCUGUUAAGUGCAGGGUGAAAGCUCCCGGCUCAACUGGGAGAGGUCCUUGCAUACUGGCGGACUUGAGGGGGGUAGAGGAAAAGUGGAAUUCCCGGUGUAGUGGUGAUAUGCGUAGAUAUCGGGGAGGAACACCUGUGGCGAAGGGCGGCUUUCUGGGCCCCUACCG
RNAcentral lists this ribosomal RNA (222 nucleotides) under uncultured bacterium. RNAcentral describes it as "partial 16S ribosomal RNA". It matches the Rfam family "Bacterial small subunit ribosomal RNA", at positions 524 to 742 of the family's 1533-position model. The record is from RNAcentral.